This 71-nucleotide transfer RNA is filed under the name Loxodonta africana (African savanna elephant). It matches the Rfam family "tRNA". Rfam says of the family: Transfer RNA (tRNA) molecules are approximately 80 nucleotides in length. Their secondary structure includes four short double-helical elements and three loops (D, anti-codon, and T loops). Lineage: Eukaryota; Metazoa; Chordata; Mammalia; Proboscidea; Elephantidae. The record is from Rfam by way of RNAcentral.
UCAUUGGUAAUUCAGUGGUAGAAUUCGUGCCUUCCAUGCUGGAGAUUUGGGUUUGAUUCCAAGCCACUGUA